This 553-nucleotide long non-coding RNA is filed under the name Phoenix dactylifera (date palm). RNAcentral describes it as "long non-coding RNA (PDAC_LNC003001)". The record is from RNAcentral. Lineage: Eukaryota; Viridiplantae; Streptophyta; Magnoliopsida; Arecales; Arecaceae.
GAGGGGAGUGUUGGUGGAGUGUGUCAUUGCUAUUGAGGAGGUGGCGGGACCAGCAGGGGAGAUGCUAGUGUUUGGGCCCAUUGGCAAUGUAGCACUGUUGGCAACGAAACAGGAGAUGCGACUGCGAAGGACAAGAUAGGGUCAAGGGGAACUCAUCGACAACAGGCUCAGGUCCGAGACGGGGUGGAGCAGCUAGAAUUUUCUCAUCGAGAGCGAGCGGAGCGGCUAGGGUUUUCUCUCUUUUUCAAUGUGGCGAAGCAUGCGAUGUGGCGAAAUAUUAUUGGUUUGAUGUAGAGCUGAUAUGGUACACGUGGUGUAGGAUAUAAUUUCUCCUCAAAUAGCGUUAUAACCUCUAAUACAAUCACAGCUCAAUUUGAAUGCUCAUUGGGUAAUGAAUUUUCCUAUAUACUUUCAUUCAAGGAACAAAUUAGUCGUCCAGAGUGAUUUAGCUUUACACUCUUGCUCGCAUCCUUAAACACAAGUAUCUUAUAUGAUGUAUCUACGGGACGUGAUCAAACAUCAGCGUUUACUUUUAUUUAAUUUUCCAACUCAA